This 101-nucleotide small RNA is filed under the name Halpernia frigidisoli. RNAcentral's name for it is "Flavo-1 RNA". It matches the Rfam family "Flavo-1 RNA". The record is from Rfam by way of RNAcentral. Lineage: Bacteria; Pseudomonadati; Bacteroidota; Flavobacteriia; Flavobacteriales; Weeksellaceae.
AACUAGCCCUGAUAGAAGCGGCAUCCUUUUUUAUAUUUUUUUAGAACUUGUAGAAAAUUUAAAAAAUUAUAAAAAAGAUACAGCGGAUAGCAGGUUCCCGG